CAUGUAGGCGGUUUUUUAAGUCCGGAGUGAAAAUGCGGGGCUCAACCCCGUAUGGCUCUGGAUACUGGAAGACUUGAGUGCAGGAGAGGAAAGGGGAAUUCCCAGUGUAGCGGUGAAAUGCGUAGAUAUUGGGAGGAACACCAGUGGCGAAGGCGCCUUUCUGGACUGUGUUUGACGCUGAGAUGCGAAAGCCAGGGUAGCGAACG
Molecule: ribosomal RNA, 206 nt
Filed under: uncultured bacterium
Lineage: Bacteria
Description: partial 16S ribosomal RNA
Rfam family: Bacterial small subunit ribosomal RNA
Source: RNAcentral